AUUAAGAAACAGAACCCUUAGACCUAUUUGUUUAAAAUUUUCCUUCUGUAAAUUGUGGGUAAACUUUUUAAGAUUUUCCACCACUAAUUGCAUGAUUAUAAAGAUGUAAAAUCAAUAGGAAAAUAAAUCGAGAACCAGCCACCUAAAAACCUAGAAUCCCAAGUUGAAUAAAUUAUUGGCAAUGGGAAAAUACAUACAGCACCUGCAGAU
This 210-nucleotide unclassified non-coding RNA is filed under the name Hevea brasiliensis (rubber tree). Lineage: Eukaryota; Viridiplantae; Streptophyta; Magnoliopsida; Malpighiales; Euphorbiaceae. The record is from RNAcentral.